GAUGAACGCUGGCGGCGUGCCUAAUACAUGCAAGUCGAGCGAACGGACGAGAAGCUUGCUUCUCUGAUGUUAGCGGCGGACGGGUGAGUAACACGUGGAUAACCUACCUAUAAGACUGGGAUAACUUCGGGAAACCGGAGCUAAUACCGGAUAAUAUUUUGAACCGCAUGGUUCAAAAGUGAAAGACGGUCUUGCUGUCACUUAUAGAUGGAUCCGCGCUGCAUUAGCUAGUUGGUAAGGUAACGGCUUACCAAGGCAACGAUGCAUAGCCGACCUGAGAGGGUGGUCGGCGACACUGGAGCUGGGACACGGACCAGACUCCUACGGGAGGCAGCAGUAGCGAAUCUGCCGCAAUAGGCGAAAGCAUGACGGAACAACGCCGCGUGAGUGAUGAAGGUCUUCGGAUCGUAAAACUCUGUUAUUGGGGAAGAACAGAUGUGUAAGUAACUGUGCAGAUCGUGACGGUACCUAAUCAGAAAGCAACGGCUAACUACGUG
RNAcentral lists this ribosomal RNA (497 nucleotides) under uncultured bacterium. RNAcentral's name for it is "partial 16S ribosomal RNA". It matches the Rfam family "Bacterial small subunit ribosomal RNA", at positions 28 to 507 of the family's 1533-position model. The record is from RNAcentral.